GAUGAACGCUGGCGGCGUGCCUAAUACAUGCAAGUCGAGCGCACAGACGAUGCUCUUGCUCCUUUCACGUUAGCCGCUGACGUGUGAGUAACACGUGGAUACCCUACCUAUAUGACUGGUAUCACUUCGGAACACCGGCACUAAUACCGUAUAAUCUAUUAAACCUCAUUGUUCAAUGGUAAAAGACGGUUUUGCUGUCUCUUAUAGCUGGCUCCGCGCCGUAUGAGCUAGUAGGUAAGGUAACAGCUUACCAAGGCAACGAUGCGUAGCCGACAUGCGAGGGUGAUCGGCAACAUGGGAACGGGGACACGGUCAAGACUCCUACGGGAGGCAGAAGUAGGGAAUCUUCGGCAAUGGGGGAAAGCCUGACGGAGCACGGCCGCGUGAGUGAUGAAGGUCUUCGGAUCGUAAAACUCUGUUAUUAGGGAAGAACAAAUGUGUAAGUAACUAUGCACGUCUUGACGGUACCUAAUCAGAAAGCCACGGCUAACUACGUG
This 497-nucleotide ribosomal RNA is filed under the name uncultured bacterium. RNAcentral describes it as "partial 16S ribosomal RNA". It matches the Rfam family "Bacterial small subunit ribosomal RNA", at positions 28 to 507 of the family's 1533-position model. The record is from RNAcentral.